AUUUACAUUAUAUUUAGCGCUGCUGAUUUAAAUUAGUUGGUUUUAAUUGGCUUGAGUAUGCAUAGCUAGAAAUUUUACCAACUUUUAAUAAAGAAAGAAAAAAACAAGCUGUCCGGUGCAAGUCGGAAAAUGAGGAGGCUAAAGCCAAAUGAAUUACUUACAACAGAAGAUUUUGCAAAAUAUUUAUUUAGUUUUGCAACACGGGGGGGGGGCAUUUAUUAUCAUUGUUGUCAUGGUUAAAACAUUUAAGUUGCUAGUUUUCUUAUUGUUUGGUAUUCUCUUGUGUAAAAAUCGUUCUUAUAUUUCUUAAUAAAUUACGGUCUCCUAAGGCAUAACAAUUUGCUGAUGUUGAUAAGGGUACUUUUCGGUGUCCUUUGGGAGCUUGACAUAAAAGCAUUUAUUUUCACGAUGACAGUUUCAUACAGAUUGCACGAUUUCUCAAAGACACGCUUGAUGCGAUCAUCAGACAAGGCAAAUACGAUCUUAGGUGAUGUUUUUUAUCGACUUUUAGCUUCUCCUGUACUGUGCUUUGUUUUGUUUGAAUAUGCUGCAUCGUAACACCAGGAUCAAUCAAGCUACAUUUCAUGUAUUUAAUACGGCGUAGUGUUUUAUCAAAACAAGGUGGUCGACUUUAUUUGUCAAUAAUCAUUAUUUUGCAAACAAAUAAUCAAAUUGAUCAUGGAAAAUAGCGGUCAUCUUCGAGCUUUUCGCCUCUAAAUCGUGUCCCAUUUACUGUAAGCAGUUUUUUUUCUUUUGCACAACAUAUUAUUUUAAGAAAAUAAAGGAUUAAAAGAAUUGGAAUUCAGGUCUAUUGAAAAAAAUCUUGAAACAGCUGUUAUCGAUGUUGUUGUCGACUUUUUGUUUAUUAAGAUGCCAUAUGGCUGCUGAUUGCGUUUUCAAUGUCAAAAGUUAAUAGGGAGUUUGAUGUGUUCCUCAGCAGUGGUUUUUAGCUCCAAUGCUGUUGGUUGUUGAAUGACUAUGCUUACAAUGCUAGUACCUGUCAUUAAAUCAAACUUACCAAUAUAUUUUAAGUUCCUGUGAAUUUCUUAAUAGACAUUUUAGCAGACUUCAUCCUUAAUGAACAAUGGCUAUUAAAAAUACAUGUGCUUUCACAUUUCGAUUUAGUCGGAAAUAAAUUGUCAUAGAAAAAGUGAAUUAAGAAUUGAUGGUGAUGAAUUAAAAUGCUAUUGAUGUCCUUCGAAACCAAGUCUUUUGUUUACAGAUGCUUAUAUUCUGAUGGCAUAACAACGAUUAUUUUAAUAUACCUGAGUAUUUUUGAUCCAGACGCAAUCUACAUUUGUGUUGAGGAAUUUUACUGCAAGGUGUGAGAUUAAGCUUGUUGACGAAUAAUCAGAUAUAUGUGAAAAGAUUUCGUUUGAAAUUAGUUCUCGCCAGUGCUGCACAGAUUUGUACAGAGAAUCACAAAGAUGUAACCGAUGGGAAGGAGUCCCUGCUCUUUCGUACACCGUGAAAUCCAGAUUGAGUGAAUAAAGAUAUAGAAAAUUUGAUUAUUCAAGAAAUAUAUUCUUGCUUAUCAGACAAUCGUUGUCCUUCCUAAGCAAGUUACGAUAAUGGCAAGCAGAAAAGAAUCUGUUAUGUCGAUGAUUCAGCUGGAUGUUGAAACAGACACAACGACAACUCGACACACGCAAUGGCGAAGGCUUUCUAGAAAACGCAGACGCACUCUUAUUAAGCGAGCUCUACGUAAAUUGGAGCAAGAAGCUGGUGAGAAGUAUGUUAGGAUUGGCAUGGACGAUUAUAGCCACGUUCAGAGCCUGGUUUAUAGUGAAUUGCCGUUCAACCCUAAUGGGCAUCAUUGCUCUUGCAACUGUCUAGAUGAAGUCAGAGAUGACCCAGAGCUUGAGGUGUACGGUUGGAAUUAUGGCCGACUAUUAAAAAGCUCAGAACAAGGAUAUUACGGUGAUAAUGAAGAAGACAGAGACGAUGUUCUGCUAAGUGAGUAUAGCGCGACACUUAGUGCCUUAGGAUCACCAGAGAAAGGCCUUAUUAAGACAGAGCGCUCAUCAAGGAAGAGUUUCUUUGAAUCCAUGGAUGGAUACGAUGCACAGAACAUGGGUGACGACUCUGCUAGGAGUACAAUGGGCGGUACUCUUGAAUUGAAGCCUGGAAGUGAAGCAACGGCUGUUCAGGAAAGUCCGCGCAAUGAGAUGACAGAUGCAAGCAGAUUCAGUAUACACUCGUUUGCAAAUCAUAAUGGCUCACCUGAAACAGUUUCUGAAGCUGUAACAGAAAGAAUCGACCUAGACAAGGAAAAAACCUUUAGAAGCAUCUAUUCUAGCCGAGAUACUGGCCGUAGUGGUAUCUCUAGAAACAAAAGCCGCACAGGUUCCAAAAAAGGCUGUUAUUGUGAUAGAUUUGCGGUAGGCAGCAAAACCACCAGAAGAUCCAUAGCAAGCGGUAUGUCUAGGUUGUCUUCGAGAACUGCAUGCAGCAAGUGUCAACAUUUUUUGAGUGCGGUCGAUAACUUAAGACACCUAAAUUCCAGCCGUCAAAUUACUUUAGCGAAGGAAGAGGGGUUGCUUAGGAGCAAGAUAUUUGGAUUACGUCAACAACUAAAGCAUUAUGAUGAUAUCAUACAGAAAAAUGAUUACAAUACCAUACAGAGCAAGGUGAAGAGAAAACUCCAAAUACGAGAUGCGCAGCAAAAGAAAGCAUUGUUGCUAUCAGAUAACCUAAAGUUGAUGAAAGUUGAAGAGCUGUUGUACAGGAAAAAUAACGAGAUAUUGAAGGAACGCCUUGCUGAGGAAGGAGGAUCGAGCCAAGCAGACGAUGCAUUAGGCGAAGAAGAAACCGGAAAAGAGUACGAUCAAAAUUUUAAUUUCACCUUUAAACAGAGUGGUUUUAACCGAAGUCCACGGAAAACCGGCAAAAAUCAUCGAGGUACUGGCUUGCCAGCUGUCAUGGAGGAGAACGAAGAAGAUGUAAGAGAAGGCCACUCCUCGAAUCGAAAACGUCCUAUCAAUUAUGUUGAAAAUCAUGCAGUCCCUUCCUUUGAUGAUCCUUAUGAGAUUUUGUUUAUCAAUCAUAGUGACAACGAAGCGGAAAGCAAGAGUAAAAACUAUACCAAUGGUGAUAAUAAUUAUGAUGAUGAGGAUGGUGAAGAUAUCUUUAUGAGAACAUGGCCUGCAUAUAAGCGUGAUUCCCUAAAACUUGGCUUUUGGGGAGCAGAUGGGAGGGACAGUGUUGCUAGCAUCAAAACAGUCAAGUUGAAAAAGCCAGUGAAGGCUGACCCAGUCAGAAGAAUAGUUCAUCGUUUAGAUAGUGGUUUGUCCUAUGGAAUAUCCUCUACAGAAAGUGAGUUGGUGGCUGAUGAGUCCUUUUUAGAAAUCAAGGAUAAAAUCGAUGAACAAAAAAUUUCAGGCAGUUAUCUUCCGGAAGAUGAAUAUUACAAACCGUUAGUUGAAAGACAAAGAUCAUUUGGGGAUAUAAUAAAGAACGUAAUUAAAAAGGAAAUUGCAAGGCGUGCUUCUGAUGACUCAGGAAAAACAGUUAAUGCAGGACAUAUGUUUGAAGAUGAAGAGAUAAAAGACAAAUUGAAAAAGGAAUUGACAAGAAGAAGAAGUUUGAGUCAAAUUGAAGGUAAUCAUAAUGAUCUCGUUGAAAAGGCCGAGAAAAAGAAUGAGAAGUUACUCCAGGAGCUUAGGGAAAAUUACGGCAAAGGUGCAAAUGAUGUUACUGAAGAUGCAAGCUCUGUUAGUACACCUUUGAAAAAAAUCUCCGAAAAAUCAGAAGAACGAAAACAUGAAGAAGAAAUGGGCGAUGAAGAUAUUGGUGAAUCUGCCAAAAUGCCAAAGCCUGGAAGAUUUGUUGAUCUAUCUACACUGAGAACACUGGCACAGAAACACCAAACAUUGCGAUCUCUUGGAAGAUUAGAAGAGGAAGAGUAUAAGCUAUCAUCUGGGGUUGAAAAACUUAACACUUACAGGAAAAGCGAGGCAAGGGCGAGGGUACAAAGCCAAGAAUCACAGCAGGGUUAUCAUGUUGACACAGAGCUACCAUUGUCAGCAAAAGAAAAGAAAUUUUCGAUUCCUGCCCCACAGAAUAUACAGUCAAAACUUGAAGAAAAAAUAGCUGAAAACGAUAAGAAAAUAUCCCGUAUUGAUUUUGAAUAUGACAUGAUGCGUGAUUUGAGAUUUCUGAUCCUUAAUCAAAACAUGAAUCGAGCAUUUACAUGGUCCUAUCUGAAAGCGGCACCUCCCUACUUGAAAAAGAAAUGGCAGGGCAGAAUAAAAAGAGGGUUUUUGAGGGGUGUGAAGGAGCAAAAGCUCAAUGAAGUUCAACUAGAGAAGGUUGAGGAUGUUACGUUAAAAAAUAUUGACCGCAGUCAAAUUCACAAAGUCACGUUGACAAAUGAACAGAAGAAAAGGCGAAAAUCCACAGACCAAUCAGGAUCGCGUGCUCUAUCACAGUCGAGCAGGCCAUUGAGCAGACGAAGACAGUCAGAAAAUUCAACUGAACCUAACACUAGUGAUUCGGGAAACACGCUUCCUCCACUUAAGUUGCCUAACUCCCGAGAAUCGUCGCCAGUGUUGACAAGUUACGACAGAAGACAAAGUACUGCCAACGCGGACGGUGUAAAAUCCUUGAAAGGUGCAUUCAGAAAGUUAAGCUUACGGCAUAAAUUUAUCGAAAAGACGGGACUGAUGAGAAACGUUAUCAAACUUAGCUCAUACUCCAAGAAUGAAGGGAGUGAGAUCGAGGGCUUUCUUAUGCCUGCGAGUGAUCGGUCUCGUGCUGGCAGCGAGUCUGAGGAGCGUUUCACAUCGAGGCUGAAGCAGCAGCAAAGACGUCACAGCAUUGCAACACAGAACUUUGCAUCAAGUGAUCCAUUAUCAGGGAGACUCUCUGUCAAUUCUGUCGAUAAAAGAAGAAAGCUUAGCCUUAUGCAACCAAUUAGUGAAUUUUGAACAAGAAUAUUUUGCACUCCUUUUAAUGUGAACGACUUUUGCUUAAUCCCAACUUGUCAAUUGCAUGCUAUUAUGUUGAUGCUCUUGAAGGGAAUGUAAUUUAGUUCGCCUUAGCGUUUUGCAGUAACCAAAUAUCAGCAAGGAUACCAGAAAUGGUUUUAGCUAAAAAGAUCUUUUGAUGUUUGUUCGUUCGUAUGAUGAUUUCCCGACCGCAUGUAUUAUCCUAAUGCCAAGUAACCCUCUUUUUUAUACCCUAAGGGGUUGGAUCAAGCAUUAGUAUUGAAGCAAUGAAAUGUCAUUUAGGCCAUCUAUGCCUAGUCGAUAAGAUUAAAGGCAUUCAAUACUUUUUAAUAAAAGAAAAUGACCAUACCUGUAGUUCAGCAAAUUUUGGGGGCUGCAGAUCCUAGACCCACCCCAACUUCCGACGGCUUUCUCAGAAUUAGCUGCAACAGUACGUAGCCCUUUUCGUGAUUGCCAAGCUGCCCAAUAUUUAAUUCAAUUUAUCAUGACACAUCCCAUACCCCUUUUGGCUUUUAUCAUUGUCUUGUGAAAUACUGAAGAUUAAAUGACUUAUUUCGUGAUUAUUAGACUCUGCAAAGUCAUUUCAAAACAAAUCAUUAUUGGUCUGGUAAUAGUAUUUAUGAUACGACUCCUAUGGUUUUUGAAGACGAAUGCAUCUCAUGUCAAAUUUACAGCAAAAGAAUUAGAUAUAGCCUAUCGGAUCUUUACAGAAUUAACUGAAUUUUCAAGGCACCAGCAACAAACGGGAAAAAAUUAACCUUGUAUUUUGAGUGUUCUCUAAAUGUUCAUAUAACAGAGUAUAACAGUGUUUAGCAGUGUACAGUGUCUUUAAACAUUCAUAUAAAUGCAAAGCUGCGCUUCCAGGAGACUGUUUCUGUAAUGUUCUAAACGAGGCUAUUGUAUAACGAGGUUUAUUAUUAUGUAACACAAGUAACAGAAGCACGUCUCUAUUUCGACCGUACUCAAAUUGAUGCCUUUAAUCAUGGGCUCUGACGCAGGUUGGAAAGUUGAGGGACUAGGGGAGAUUUUGACAAACAGAAAAUAGCCUGAGCAUGUUCAAUUACAACAGCUAUACUUUUGUCGUUUGGGGUCCCCCCCUUGAUUUUUAGUACGUUACUGCUUUGUCGAUCUCAAGCUCACCCCCUGCUCACUCAAAAGAAUUAGAUAUAGCCUAUCGGAUCUUUACAGAAUUAACUGAAUUUUCAAGGCACCAGCAACAAACGGGAAAAAAUUAACCUUGUAUUUUGAGUAUUCUCUAAAUGUUCAUAUAACAGUGUAUAACAGUGUUUAGCAGUGUACAGUGUCUUUAAACAUUCAUAUAAAUGCAAAGCUGCGCUUCCAGGAGACUGUUUCUGUAAUGUUCUAAACGAGGCUAUUGUAUAACGAGGUUUAUUAUUAUGUAACACAAGUCACAGAAGCACGUCUCUAUUUCGACCGUACUCAAAUUGAUGCCUUUAAUCAUGGGCUCUGACGCAGGUUGGAAAGUUGAGGGACUAGGGGAGAUUUUGACAAACAGAAAAUAGCCUGAGCAUGUUCAAUUACAACAGCUAUACUUUUGUCGUUUGGGGUCCCCCCCUUGAUUUUUAGUACGUUACUGCUUUGUCGAUCUCAAGCUCACCCCCUGCUCCUUGGAUAAAACGAAUUUUUGAAGGGGCCGAAAACCCUUUAGUGCCGUCCAUUUGAAUAAAAAUCUUAACAGUAGAUUUCUGCUAUAUCUUAUGGUCAAGUCAUAGUGGAAGCCUGUUGUUCUAACUCUUUGUUCAUGUUUAUUACAAUCACGUGAUCUAAGUAAGGGGACGCGUUAAAACAGGUGUAAAGGAUUGUUGUUGAGUUUUGAAUGUUUCUCGAGAAUGUUGGUAAUUUUUACAAUCUAUUCUGUUCUGAUAUUAUUAAAACUAUGAUCAGCUCAUAUUGUGCAGUUCAGGGAUGAGGCAUUUCUGUCAUCACUCUUACUUGGGAGUAAGAUUUCUUAGAACUUCGCGACGCAAUUGGCAAGAUUUUUUGGCUUGGAUAACGGUAUAAAAAGAUUUACACGACUGCAAACAAUUAUUUUGAGCGUCAAAUUGAAUCUGGAGAUGUUUUUAUUUGCGAGAAAAUCGGCGUGGGGAAAAAUGAGAUGGGUUAGUUGCAGCUCCCCUUCUCAGACAAAACUGUCACAUUUCCUGCUCCACUCGGACAGUUUUAUCUCAAUGAAGAAACGAUUUUCGGGGAAGAUCAAUGCUUAGCCCCCCUAAACGUCGAACAUCCGCUACGUGCCUGGAUAAGAGUUUUUAAACAAAAAUAUAAGCCUUCGUGGAACAUUGAUGAAGUCGAGUACGUUGCUGAUACAGAUAUGGUUGAAGCUCGAAGAGCCAAAAUUGUGAAAGAAUUGUUAGAGGAAUACACGAAGGACAUACAACAGGGCGCCCUCACCAUCAUCAUUUUGGACCAAGGACCGAGAUAACGGGGGGUCAGGGAGCCUUGCCCCCAAAAAACUUAAUAGCAUAAGUAAAAUACUUUUAUUUUCUAAAAUUUGGCUGUUGCUACACUUAUUAAUCAGAGCUUCACAACCCCCUCCCCCCAUCCCAAAAAAAUAAACAAAAAGGUGUAUCUCGGUCUCUGUUUGGACACGAAAAAAAUAUUCAACGAAGAGACAUUAGUAUUAGUUGAAAAGUUGAUAGAUGAAAAAGCAAUAGAUUUAUCAGAUUCAACUUUUUUGCAUUCACAUUUAAUCAGCUAUCAUCUGUUUUAGGGUUUGAGAAAUGUUUCUUGAAAGUAAGUAUUUUUAAUCGCGAAGACAGACUUUGAAACACAAAAAAUCGUUGUAUCUGACUCGUGCAAUAAGCAACUUUGUCAAAAGCCCAAAUAUCAUUGGUUUUUUACACUUAUGGGUCGCCUGUCUGCGCUAGGCUUCACGAAACUGUCUGCAUCUGCUAUUGCGAGAGAAGAAAGUGUUUUAUCUUGUCCCCUUCCUUAGUUCACGUGAAUAAAAUAAAAGUGUUUUCAAGUUCUAGAUAAAAACAAAAGAACAAAACAAUGGGCUUCCAGACUAAGAUCAAGCGAUAGCAGUCAUUUGCAAGCAUGAGUCAGUCGUUUUCAUCGGAUCUAAUUUCUUUGUUUUCCUCAAUGAUCAAUGUGUUAUGAGCAUUGUAUAAUACAAUAAAAUCAACACAAUAAAAUAAAGCCCUAUGCUAAAUUCUAACGAUUCAAGAUCUUCCAAGGUGCAGGUCCUGUGAGUGUAGGGCGAAGAGCAGCAGGUUAACGAUAAGGUGGAUGCACCUUGAUUGACAACAAGCACCAAAUACAUGGAUGCUGGCUGGAAAAUCCAUAAUUUCAGAAGAUAGAUCAGUAAGA
Molecule: non-coding RNA, 8282 nt
Organism: Rhopilema esculentum
Lineage: Eukaryota; Metazoa; Cnidaria; Scyphozoa; Rhizostomeae; Rhizostomatidae
Source: RefSeq, a predicted model, not a curated record